UACGGGGGGGGCAAGCGUUGUUCGGAAUUACUGGGCGUAAAGGGCUCGUAGGUGGCCAACUAAGUCAGACGUGAAAUCCCCCGGCUUAACCGGGGAACUGCGUCUGAUACUGGAUGGCUAGAGAUUGGGAGAGGGACGCGGAAUUCCAGGUGUAGCGGUGAAAUGCGUAGAUAUCUGGAGGAACACCGGUGGCGAAGGCGGCGUCCUGGACCAACACUGACACUGAAAAGCGAAAGCCAGGGGAGCAAACGGG
This 253-nucleotide ribosomal RNA is filed under the name uncultured bacterium. Its description in RNAcentral is "partial 16S ribosomal RNA". It matches the Rfam family "Bacterial small subunit ribosomal RNA", at positions 524 to 776 of the family's 1533-position model. The record is from RNAcentral.